UGGGAGAGAAGAAAGCAGGAGUCUGAGGAACCAGCAGAGGCUUCUCAGCAGUUGAAAGGAGGAAGAGGCCUGUUGAGGGCACAUGGAGACACGGGACCUAUAGCCACAGGAUCCCCUGGGUGAGGGCAGCACUGAGCAAGCACCGGUGUCUGCUGGGUGUGCCCACGUGCUCAUCAGUCCUGCAGAGAUGUGUCAGGGGCUUGCCGUGUGCCCGCAGCACCACCGGGGCUGCGGAGGCUCUCCUCCCUCCUGAGCCCUCGGAGCAGCGGCCACCCUGACGGGACAUGGACACUACUCCGUAACAUGACCCUGUGCAGCAUCCCCACAGCCGGGCGCUCUUACUGUCCCCAUUUCACAGGUGAAGACACUGAACCAGGACCAGAGGACGUGCCUGGUACCCCAAGGUUGGUCGGCAGUGGGCCAGCACACGCUCCAGGCAGGUGGUGUUCUCUGGAACCCCUGGCUUCCGGAGCGGUUCCCACACCCACACAAACCCAGCAGGGCAACGACGCACUGGCCCAAGCAGCGCCCAGGGGUAGCUCCCUAGGAUGCCCGGAGGUGAGUGAUGAGGUAGAGCUAGGGGUGGCGUCUGGGCUGGGCAGAGGCCCCCCCAGCACCCGGCGUGUGCCCUGCAGCGGACACGGGCCCCAACGCACA
Molecule: long non-coding RNA, 657 nt
Organism: Cervus elaphus (red deer)
Lineage: Eukaryota; Metazoa; Chordata; Mammalia; Artiodactyla; Cervidae
Exons: 3
Source: RefSeq, a predicted model, not a curated record